RNAcentral lists this ribosomal RNA (253 nucleotides) under uncultured bacterium. Its description in RNAcentral is "partial 16S ribosomal RNA". It matches the Rfam family "Bacterial small subunit ribosomal RNA", at positions 524 to 776 of the family's 1533-position model. The record is from RNAcentral.
UACGUAGGGACCAAGCGUUGUUCGGAUUUACUGGGCGUAAAGGGCGCGUAGGCGGCGCGGUAAGUCACUUGUGAAAUCUCUGAGCUUAACUCAGAACGGCUAAGUGAUACUGCAGUGCUAGAGUGUGGAAGGGGCAAUCGGAAUUCUUGGUGUAGCGGUGAAAUGCGUAGAUAUCAAGAGGAACACCUGAGGUGAAGACGGGUUGCUGGGUCAACACUGACGCUGAGGCGCGAAAGCCAGGGGAGCAAACGGG